UGGGGGAGGGGGACCUGCGCCGACAGCAACAACGAUCACGAAACAAGAGACAAACUGUAGCUGACUGAAUUUUCUUCGGAUUCGAUUGCUGCAGCAGGAAUUCGUCGAGGAGAAACAUUGCCGAAAGAGCAGACAUUAUGCUGCGCGCUCGUACCCGGCUUCUCUUCAUGCGUCCCGAAGCCGCUGCUGCAGAGCUGCGACGACUUCUCCCACUCUUGUCGUUCACUGGUAGAAGAACCGGUGCAGCCACGCAUUCAGUGGCGUCGCUGGUCGUGUCCACAGCGUACUCGGCUACAGCAGCACGGUCGGUGACGAACCACUCACGCGACUGCCCUGUCCUCUCGAAGAAACUGCCAUUGUCACUCAUUGGGAAAGAAUCCAGCUUUGCGGCGCGACCGUGUCUGAGCUGCGUGCGCGAGCGCGUGCACUACGUUUCCUCUGUGUCUUUCUGUCAUUAUUUUGAAAAGAAGUGUGCGGAAGCGCAACACCACCAGAACGGGGCAUCCAGCAACGGCGUCGUUGGUACUGCGGCGCUUCCAAACCUCUUGCUGGAGGCCAUUGAACGCAGCUACGGGUCUGUCAAUGCGUUCAAGGAUAGUGUGGCGCUUCAUUCAACAGGCGCCAUGAGCCCUGGACGACUGUGGAUCGUGUACACCCCUCCUAUCAGCGGUAGCGAACAUGGUGCUGUGAGCCUGCUGAACCUUCCAGCUUGCAGGGUUCCCCUGGUACACGGUCUCUGGCCGCUUGCUGUAAUUAACAUGACAGAGAAGCGCUUGUGUGAACAGAUUGCGUGCCGCUCUGGAAAAGGUGGCGACGCCGUCGAUGCUGAUAACGCUCCUGCAUGGUGCCACGCGGCUCGUACGCCUAAGACACUAGGUGCGCUUGCAACCACAGAGGAGGGAAAUGAUCGAGCAGGGAGCGUGGCGCAAGUAAGGCUCUCUUCCAUUCAAUCCGCCAUCGCAGAGGAAGCACUAAGUGCAAUGAACUGGAAAUUUGUUGAAAUGCAGCUCACGUCUGCGUUGGCCUACUACAGCUCCAAGGUGCGCAAACAAACACAGCGCGAGCAUCGAAAAGAAAGAGAGCAUGUGGCGGCAGUACGGGCAAUGAGCCAGCUGAAAGACAGCGGUGCAGUGAUUCAUGCGACGGACUGGGUGACAAUCACAUCUUCGAACUCAUUUGUUGCAUCGCCGGCAAGCGAGCCGAACCUUUCAGCUGCCGCGGCUGUGACGUCAUCUUCAUCAGCAAAGACAGAGAACAGCGCGCUAGGAGAAGCCAAUACUCAAACAGCUGCAGUGGCGGUCCCUAGCGCGGAGGCAACCGUCACAAACACUGCCUCUAACUCUGCGCAGCCAGCUGACAACACAGCGGCAGGCGCCGCCGCCGCAGAACCACGCAUUGUGCAGCAAGCGGAUGGAACGUGGGAGUACCACUACAACAACGGGAGCGUGACAAAGGCUUACCCCGACGGCACCAAGGUAUUUCAAACGGAGAGCUGGACAACGACAGUGUUUGUGAACGGCGACACGCUUUUCGAGUACCCAAACAACACUUCGAUUUUAGAUCGCGCGGAUGGUGUGCGCGUGACAACUUAUGCCGACGGCACGAAAAAGGAGGAGCGACUCAAGUGAAGAUUAUAGGGUGAGCAGCUCGAUGCGUUCUUUGUGGUGGCGUUGAGCAGAGGCUCAGCGAAGAUGCGUGAAACGAAGCCGUGUGGCUUACGUGCCGCUGUGAUUCUUGCGGGUUCCUCGACGGGUCUGCACUCUCUUGCCGAAAUGACGACUCAUUCAGCAAGAGGAUGACGCGCGAAGCAGUCGUCGUUGCUCUUACAGGUGAUCCUAAUUCUCUUCUCUCGAUUGCGGAAGGAAAAAGCAUGGCGCACACAUGCAGACUCUCGGCUGCUGCUUCUGAAGGGAAAGGUGCUUUUGCUUUUUUUUUGUCCCUCUACGUGCAGACUGCAACGGGUUGAAGGCUGGUAGUGAUCUUGUUUCGAAAUCGAACCAGAACGUGUGGUGCAGGCGAGCUGCUGCUUCGCGCUACACUUCACAGUAUGAAUGAUAAGUAGAGAAACAGCACAGAACCUCUAGUUCUCGUCUUGCGGAGGGAAGCGAGGUCUGAUAGCGCAGGUGCACUUCGCGCAGCGUGCGUGACCACCUAGGCGAAUGCGAACAUCACUGGCUAAUCCCUCCUCCAUUUCUCUACGGUUGUGUGUGAGUCCUUCGUCGGCAGCGCUCCUACAAGUGUUUUUCUCUUCGCGGUGAUGUGGUCACGAUUGCGGUGUCUCACGCUUCCUGGCACGACUGUGGCGGAGGAGUAGGGCACCAGAGGCACAUUACCAGGCUUGUAAAAUGACGCAAUUGGGAACUGCGUCCUCAUCCUGGGAGGAGGGCGGCCUGCUCUCGAUUCGUUUCUUUGCCCCUUUUCUGUCGCCCUCUUUGGCCUCAACACCAUGCGUUCGCUACGCGCGAUUAUCGAAUGCGGCAAGAACCUUGAGCGUGAGUUUUCCUUUUUGUUGACCGUUGCUUCCACUCUGUAUGACGUGUGUUCCACGACGACGCGCCCUAAACAACCAAUGCACACAAAUCGCAUUUCUGCAAGUAGAGUGAAGCUUGCACGCACUCACCCUCACUUACUUUUUCUUGUGCACAGCAAGGCAUCGGCGGUGCGCAUCAAGAAUCACUAUCGGCC
This 2685-nucleotide unclassified non-coding RNA is filed under the name Leishmania donovani. RNAcentral describes it as "gene:LdHU3.34.1240(CDS-product:hypothetical_prote in_conserved)". Lineage: Eukaryota; Euglenozoa; Kinetoplastea; Trypanosomatida; Trypanosomatidae. The record is from RNAcentral.